RNAcentral lists this long non-coding RNA (1440 nucleotides) under Taeniopygia guttata (zebra finch). Its description in RNAcentral is "lncRNA (ENSTGUG00000022250.1)". Lineage: Eukaryota; Metazoa; Chordata; Aves; Passeriformes; Estrildidae. The record is from RNAcentral.
UUUUUUUUUUUUUUUUUUUUUUUUUUUUUUUGUGUUAGGAUUGGAUUUAAGAUUUAAACCUUCAGCAUAGAGGACACCUUCAGGCUGUACAAGAUGGUUAGGCUCUUGUCUGGAUUAUUCCUGGGAAGGUGGAGUUUAGUUCCCUUUUUCUUGUAUCAGCAGCGGUAUUUUGGUGGAUCUACUCAACUUCUGUUUUCUGUAGCCUCUUCCAGGGCUCUUUAAAGUAUUUUUAUUGAGAAGCAGAGUGUAUUUCCCCCCUGGAUCUGUUUUUCUUUGCCCUUUUCUUUAGCUCUGUGCUGUGGGCACAUGCAGGUGGAUGUCAGGAUACUGGCUAAGCUGUGAUAGGCUGUGUCAAUGAUAAGGACACACAAUGAUCUGUCCAAGAACAAACUGAAGGAGUCAGAAACUUUAUGAUGACCAAAAACCAGGAUAAGAGAUGACCUCUGAUGAUGAUACAGAAGACAUAGUGUUUAAUUUAAAAACAAAAUGCAUCCAGCUUUAUCUGGUCCUGCCCCCCACCAGCAUGAAGAGAAAAUAGGCUUUAUUUUGGGACAAUUGCCCAAGCUGGAGCCAGAAAUUACCCAAAUUUUGGUUAAGCUUUGGAAAUUUCUAUCAGCUCUUAUCUCUCCCUCAUCCUCAUCUUCUAUGUAAUAGCAGUCUGUCAGUCUAGCAGAGCUGGUUUGUAAUUCAUACAGCAAAUGGUGAGGAAGAUACCUCUUGUAUCUUGGUUUCACAAAUUAAAAGUAUCUUCUUGAAACCAGUACACUACAUAAUCUUGGUCCAGGUUGUUUGCUUUUUCUUUUCUUUUGUUUCUCUUCACUUGGGCAUAGAUACUGGCAAUUCAUGUGUAAAGGACUCUGAGAAUCAGAAGUGGUAUUUUGAUGUCUCACUGCCAUCCAAACAGCCAGAUGAAGACAUGUUUGUAGAAAGACAGCAUGGGAGAAAUUUUUUCUGCCUUUCUACUUGUGGGCAAUGGAUGACACUUUUAGUGCUCGGUUUAUUCCCUUUGUGAAUUUUUUUUAAAUGGAAAAACUAUGACUUUUGGUUGGGCUAACUUGAGUAUGGUUUUACUGAAGUCUAGUAGGGAUAAAAUGCAGUGUUUCUGUAGUGAUGUUCUUGAAAAGUUGAGCAAUAAGACUCCUACUGGAAAUACACUAGUGAUGUUGGAAGAUCCUGCGUUCUUCCUUAAGGGAAGGUGGGAACACAGUUUCUCUUGUUACCAUUGACAGAAAACAGUGCUCUCUGAGCACUGUGGACAGCUCUUGUGAACUGUGCACUGCACAGCCAGCUUGGCAAAGUGCUCUGUCUGGGCUAAAGCCUUCAGCCUCUUUAGACUCUGGGCUGCUGCAGGUAUCACUGUGUGGCUUUUCAGAGGGUGGUGGAGGUUCACUUAUAGCUGCUAGAAGUUCAGCUCUGUCUGAAAUAUGGCCUCUUGCUACA